CCGAACUCAUUAACGUUGAAAAGUUAUGGGAUGAGCUGUGAGGAGGAGUAAAAGUCUAAUCAAACGUGGAGAUAUCUCGUACUCUCCGAAAUAGCUUUUGGGCUAGCCUUGAGGAAUUGCUUUACGGGGGUAGAGCUACUGAAUGGGGUUAGGGGCCUACCCGGUCACCUGCCCCAACCAAACUCCGAAUACCGUAAAGUGUACCUCGGGAGUCAGUCUACGGGAGAUAAGUUCCGUGGUCGAAAGGGAAACAACCCAGCCCGCCAGCUAAGGUCCCAGAAUCCUGCUAAGUUAUUAAGGAAGUUGGAUUGCGGNNGCAGUCCGGCGCCGAUAAUGAUCGGGAAUAAGCAGGAUACCGAAGCUGCGGAUUACCAGACGGGUUCGCCUGUCUGGCAGUGGUAGGAGAGCGUUGCUGUCAGCAUAGAAGCCGCACGGAGACGAGCGGUGGAGCGGCAGCAAGUGAUUAUGCCGGUAUGAGUAACGAUAAAACAGGUGAGAAUCCUGUUCGCCGAAAGCCUAAGGUUUCCUGGGGAAGGUAGAUCCGCCCAGGGUUAGUCGGUCCCUUAGUCGAGGCCGAAAGGCGUAGACGAUGGACAGCAGGUUAAUAUUCCUGCACUAUGUACCAAAGGUUAUAACUGUGGGGGCGACGCGGAAGCAACGGUUGGAAGCCGACUAGUAGUGGCUAUUGUGCCCGUGUUGUUGUCGGUUGGUAAAUCCGCCGACACAAAACAAUACGGGACCGCGAGGGCCGAUUUAAGAUGCCUGAGCAACCCGAAAUUCCGCCAAGAAAAACCUCAAACAGGACAAUGGUGCUUAACCGUACUAAAACUGACACAGGUAGGCAAGGAGAAUAUCCUAAGGCGCUCGAGAGAACCGUCCUUAAGGAACUAGGCAAUUUGACCCCGUAAGUUCGCAAUAAGGGGUCCCUACAGGGGCAUUUAAGCAAUUAGGUGCCUGCUGAGGGCGCAGUGAAGUGGCUCUGGCGACUGUUUAUCAAAAACACAGUUCUCUGCUAACUCCAAAAGAGGAUGUAUAGAGAAUGACGCCUGCUCGGUGCUGGAAGGUCAAGGAAGUCGGUCAUUGGGUAGCAAUACCUGAAAAGCUGGCGACCGAAGCCCCAGUAAACGGCGGCCGUAACUAUGACGGUCCUAAGGUAGCGAAGUUCCUUGUCGGGUAAGUUCCGACGUGCAUGAAUGGCGUAACGACUGGAGUAGUGUCUCAAGGACGGACUCGGUGAAAUUGUAGAUGCGGUGAAGAUACCGCAUUCCCGCGGCAAGACGGAAAGACCCUAUGAACCUUUACUGUAGCCUGGUAUUGAUGCCUGACAUAACUUGCGUAGGAUAGGUGGGAGGCGAUGAUGUCCCGAUUUCGGUCGGGGCGGAGCCACCGUUGAAAUACCACCCUUGUUCUGUUAGUCACCUAACCGUGACCCGUGAAACCGGGCAUGGUACAGUGCCAGGUGGGCAGUUUGACUGGGGCGGUCUCCUCCUAAAGAGUAACGGAGGAGUUCAAAGGCAUACUCAGCGCGGUUGGCAAUCGCGCUUAGAGCGCAAGGGCAAAAGUAUGCUUGACUGCAAGACUUAUAGGUCGAGCAGGCGUGAAAGCGGGACCUAGUGAUCCGGCGAUUCUGUGUGGAAGGGUCGUCGCUCAACAGAUAAAAGGUACUCUAGGGAUAACAGGCUGAUCUCCCCCGAGCGUUCAUAGCGGCGGGGAGGUUUGGCACCUCGAUGUCGGCCCAUCGCAUCCUGGGGCUGAAGGCGGUCCCAAGGGUUGGGCUGUUCGCCCAUUAAAGCGGUACGCGAGCUGGGUUCAGACCGGCGUGAGCCAGGUCGGUCCCUAUCUGCCGUGGGCGCAGGAAUCUUGAUGGAAAUAUUUCCUUAGUACGAGAGGAUUAGGAAGUACUGACCGCUGGUGUACCGGCUGUCCUGCUAAGGGCACCGCCGGGUAGCUAUGUCGGGAAAGGAUAACCGCUGAAAGCAUCUAAGCGGGAAGCCCCCUCCAAGAUGAGGAUUCCAGUGACUUCGGUCACAAAGAGCCCUGGUAGACCACCAGGUUGAUAGGCCGGAUGUGUAAGGCGAGAGAUCGCUUCAGCUAACCGGUACUAACGCUCAAUUACUUGACCAU
Molecule: ribosomal RNA, 2124 nt
Filed under: Phycisphaerales bacterium
Lineage: Bacteria; Pseudomonadati; Planctomycetota; Phycisphaerae; Phycisphaerales
Description: bacterial LSU rRNA
Rfam family: Bacterial large subunit ribosomal RNA
Source: RNAcentral